GGAGGUAUGGUCCAGUGGUUACGACGUCGGUCUUAGGAGCCGAGCCUUAAUUGGCACAUGGGUUCGAAUCCCAUUACCUUCA
This is a non-coding RNA of Actinomortierella wolfii, 82 nucleotides long. Lineage: Eukaryota; Fungi; Mortierellomycota; Mortierellomycetes; Mortierellales; Mortierellaceae. The record is from the annotation of a GenBank genome assembly.